GACGAACGCUGGCGGCGUGCUUAACACAUGCAAGUCGAACGAAGAGCGAUGGAAGCUUGCUUCUAUCAAUCUUAGUGGCGAACGGGUGAGUAACGCGUAAUCAACCUGCCCUUCAGAGGGGGACAACAGUUGGAAACGACUGCUCAUACCGCAUACGAUCUAACCUCGGCAUCGAGGAUAGAUGAAAGGUGGCCUCUACAUGUAAGCUAUCACUGAAGGAGGGGAUUGCGUCUGAUUAGCUAGGUGGAGGGGUAACGGGCCACCGAGGCGAAGCUCAGUAGCCGGUCUGCGAGGAUGGACUGCCACGUUGGGACUGAGACACGGCCCAGACUCCUACGGGAGGCAGCAGUGGGGAAUCUUCCGCGAUGGACGAAAGUCUGACGGAGCAACGCCGCGUGAGUGAUGACGGCCUUCGGGUUGUAAAGCUCUGUUAAUCGGGACGAAAGGCCUUCUUGCGAAUAGUGAGAAGGAUUGACGGUACCGGAAUAGAAAGCCACGGCUAACUACGUG
This 510-nucleotide ribosomal RNA is filed under the name uncultured bacterium. RNAcentral describes it as "partial 16S ribosomal RNA". It matches the Rfam family "Bacterial small subunit ribosomal RNA", at positions 28 to 507 of the family's 1533-position model. The record is from RNAcentral.